UCAAGAGCGCUGCGGGUAGGUCCACGGCAGAGGUUUCAGCACACGCCUUCAUCCAGCGCAGACAUGGACCGAGCGCCUUCUCCCGCCUAGAAGCUGAGGAUCCGGAGGUCAACACGAGGUGCGGUCCCGCCCUCUCAGGUCUUCACGACUCCCGGGUGACCCUGGACUCUGGCCACGGUGACACAGGGAGCAGCCUUUGGUGGUUUUCUGGAACCCUGGACAAUUCCCCGGAGACCUCAUCCUUCCCAACUCCUGGGCUGGAGCCCCCCGGGGAUAAAGGCCCCUCCUGGUUGGUGCUCAGCCGAGGACAGGACCUGGCUCUGGAGGACAGCGCGAGGGCUGUGAGGGAGGCUGGCAGCCCACAGUCCCCUCCGCUUCUGUCCGGACCUGCCUGCUGGGCUCUACGGUCCAGGCCUGGAGGCCCUUCCUGACCCCGUGAGGACGUGAUUUCUCCUUGAAUCCCUGCCAGCGACCGGGCAGAGCUGGGCCUGGGCCAAGGCCCUACUGACCACACCCUCGCCAAGGCUGGGUCUCCAAAGACCCUACAGGACAGGAGUCGGGGAGGAGCUCCCAGUGGGAUGGAGGGCAGAUGCCGCCCCUGGGGCGCCACUGGCUGGAGGCUGUCUUGCGCCGUUUGCUGUGUGAGUGAUUCUCGUUUUUGUGGGA
Molecule: long non-coding RNA, 666 nt
Organism: Balaenoptera ricei (Rice's whale)
Lineage: Eukaryota; Metazoa; Chordata; Mammalia; Artiodactyla; Balaenopteridae
Exons: 2
Source: RefSeq, a predicted model, not a curated record